Molecule: ribosomal RNA, 468 nt
Filed under: uncultured bacterium
Lineage: Bacteria
Description: partial 16S ribosomal RNA
Rfam family: Bacterial small subunit ribosomal RNA
Source: RNAcentral
GACGAACGCUGGCGGCGUGCUUAACACAUGCAAGUCGAACGGAAAGGCCCUGCUUUUGUGGGGUGCUCGAGUGGCGAACGGGUGAGUAACACGUGAGUAACCUGCCCUUGACUUUGGGAUAACUUCAGGAAACUGGGGCUAAUACCGGAUAGGAGCUCCUGCUGCAUUGUGGGGGUUGGAAAGUUUCGGCGGUUGGGGAUGGACUCGCGGCUUAUCAGCUUGUUGGUGGGGUAGUGGCUUACCAAGGCUUUGACGGGUAGCCGGCCUGAGAGGGUGACCGGCCACAUUGGGACUGAGAUACGGACCAGACUCCUACGGGAGGCAGCAGUGGGGAAUAUUGCACAAUGGGCGGAAGCCUGAUGCAGCAACGCCGCGUGCGGGAUGACGGCCUUCGGGUUGUAAACCGCUUUCGCCUGUGACGAAGCGUGAGUGACGGUAAUGAGUAAAGAAGCACCGGCUAACUACGUG